This 253-nucleotide ribosomal RNA is filed under the name uncultured bacterium. RNAcentral describes it as "partial 16S ribosomal RNA". It matches the Rfam family "Bacterial small subunit ribosomal RNA", at positions 524 to 776 of the family's 1533-position model. The record is from RNAcentral.
UACGUAGGGUGCAAGCGUUGUCCGGAAUUAUUGGGCGUAAAGAGCUCGUAGGCGGUUUGUCGCGUCGGAUGUGAAAGCCCGGGGCUUAACCCCGGGUCUGCAUUCGAUACGGGCAGGCUAGAGUUCGGUAGGGGAGAUCGGAAUUCCUGGUGUAGCGGUGAAAUGCGCAGAUAUCAGGAGGAACACCGGUGGCGAAGGCGGCUUGCUGGGCCUUACCUGACGCUGAGGAGCGAAAGCGUGGGGAGCGAACAGG